Non-coding RNA from Triticum aestivum (bread wheat), 135 nucleotides. Lineage: Eukaryota; Viridiplantae; Streptophyta; Magnoliopsida; Poales; Poaceae. The record is from Rfam.
AAAGUACUCCCUUCGUCCCAAAAUUCUUGCCUUAGAUUUGUCUAGAUACAGAUAUAUCAAGUCACAUUUUAGUAUUAGAUACAUCCGUAUCUAGACAAAUCUAAGACAAGAAAUUUGGGACAGAGGGAGUAGUUG